RNAcentral lists this long non-coding RNA (1087 nucleotides) under Mytilus galloprovincialis (Mediterranean mussel). The record is from RNAcentral. Lineage: Eukaryota; Metazoa; Mollusca; Bivalvia; Mytilida; Mytilidae.
GUUCUUCCUUACAAGAAAAAUGACAUUUCUUAUUAUAAUUAUUUCUCCUUGGAGAUUUGCUCCUUCUUAUUGAAGAUCUUUUCCUAACUAUUUUUAAUGCAGUCUUUUAUUUCACUGCAUUCAUUUGCAUGAUAAGAGCUUUUACCCUUAAACCUCAACGAUUCAAUGGUGUUUUUCAAUGUGUGAUGCACUGUGAUGCAAUUUUCAAGUGGAAAAAUGUUGAAAGUGGAGUGGAAAGAGGAGGAGCAGUCAAGCCAAAUUGUAAAAUCAAUAUGAUAGAAAAAUAAUUCUCAUCCAAAUAUAGACCUUUCCUGACUAAUUAGUUGCUCCUCAAAUUUUCAGGUUAAAAUUUGGAAGAAGAAAAUGAAAUUCUUGCUUUCUUUUUCCCAUUUACAUUCUAUAGGUUAGGGAUGUAACAAAAACUGCUUUCUAGAUAUUCCCUCUUGUUAAACUAUGGAGAGAGAAAGCAUUUUUUUCCUUUUUUCCCUCUAAUUCUUUUAGAUGUCUACCAUUACAUAUAGUUGGAUUGAUUGAAUAAUUGUUGUUUACUUUAUGUCAGGUGGUAAAUGUUUCAUGCAUGUUAAGGACAAGCAUGUAUAUAGGGAUGGUGUCUUAAUACAUUUCCCUCCAACCAUUUUUUUCUCUUUAUUUUUUUUAUUUUAUAGAAUAAUCAUCCUUUUAAUGAAAUUUUUUUUUUUGUCAAAAUGAGACGAAAGAAACACGUCGCAAGAGAACUGCAAUAUUUCACCUAUUCUAGCAUCUUUUUCUCAUCCUAAUCUUAAAUCAAUUUUUGAAUGACCACUCUGAACAAUAAGUGCAACUUGGCCACACAACUGUCAUGCAAAAUUUCUAUAAGUGAGAGAAGGGAUUAGGUCACACAAGAUUGUGUAUUGGCAUCUCCAUUUAUCAGAAGCUGUCAGAAAAAGUCCACAAAAUCUUGAUUGAUUAAGUCAACAGAUUUUCUUUACCUGAAAUAAUUUCAUAGGAUUAAUUUAAUGGCAUAAAUUUUCAGACAUAGAUGACAAAUUAUUCAUAGUAAAAGAUUGAGGCCACUAGUACUUUUCUUACAAGAAAUUGUAAAUUUGUA